This 78-nucleotide non-coding RNA is filed under the name Gammaproteobacteria bacterium. RNAcentral describes it as "SAH sequence". It matches the Rfam family "SAH (S-adenosyl-L-homocysteine) riboswitch aptamer". The record is from RNAcentral. Lineage: Bacteria; Pseudomonadati; Pseudomonadota; Gammaproteobacteria.
UUUUCCGAGGAGCGUUGCGACAGGUUAACCCUGCCAGGCUCGGUAAACGUUCAUUUUCACAAACGGCGCUCGCUUAUA